AGUGAACGCUGGCGGCAGGCCUAACACAUGCAAGUCGAGCGGCAGCGCGGGGGCACCCCUGCGGGCGGGCGGGGACGGGGGAGGAAAUUCUUGGGAAUCGGCCUUUUUGGGGGGGUUACGGUGGGAAAACUAAGGCAAAUCCCGCUACCUUCCUACGGGGGAAGGGGGGGGACCCAAGGGCCUACGGAGAAAGGAGAGGCGAACGACGAUUAGCUAGUUGGUGGGGUAAAGGCCCACCAAGGCGACGAUCGGUAGCUGGUCUGAGAGGAUGAUCAGCCACACUGGGACUGAGACACGGCCCAGACUCCUACGGGAGGCAGCAGUGGGGAAUAUUGGACAAUGGGCGCAAGCCUGAUCCAGCCAUGCCGCGUGUGUGAAGAAGGCCUUCGGGUUGUAAAGCACUUUUGUCCGGAAAGAAAUCCCUGGAGCUAAUACCUUCGGGGGAUGACGGUACCGGAAGAAUAAGCACCGGCUAACUUCGUG
Molecule: ribosomal RNA, 483 nt
Filed under: uncultured bacterium
Lineage: Bacteria
Description: partial 16S ribosomal RNA
Rfam family: Bacterial small subunit ribosomal RNA
Source: RNAcentral